Molecule: long non-coding RNA, 29292 nt
Filed under: Citrus x clementina
Lineage: Eukaryota; Viridiplantae; Streptophyta; Magnoliopsida; Sapindales; Rutaceae
Description: Citrus clementina (C. clementina) long non-coding RNA (CCLE_LNC005167)
Source: RNAcentral
UAAUAUAUAAUUUUAUAAAAAUCCUGGAAUACAUAAUGUUUUAGUUAAAGCACUGUAAAAUAGUUUUGAAUUUGUCAUAAAACAAAUAGCUUUGAAAUUUUUUUUGGUAUCAGUUCAUCAUGAAGAUUUUAUGGGAGAUACUUAUGGUUGUCCACCAUAGUUCGUCAUUCCAAUUAUUAUUUUAAGAGUAAAAGUUCAAAGAAUCAGACCUGUAGGAUAUGGGUUAGAGAAUCAAGAUGUUGGAAUUAGUUGUUAGUCGCUACAUUUUGAAUUGUUUAAGGUGUCUGAGGCUGAUUGGAGGCUUAGAAGUGUGUUUAAAUAAUUUCUUCUAUCAAGGUGAGUAACUCCACUCCUAAAGCACUAGAUUUGUGUGACUCUAUUGAUAUCUUAAUAUUAUUGUAAGUAACAUCAUUUCUAGUGUACUGGAUAUCUAGAGUAUUGGAUAUGUAAGAUAGUUUUGAUAUUUUAACAUUAUUACAAGUACAUGUGCUUUUUUUAGUUCUUCAAAACAAAAUUAUUUAUGUAAGUGUUUUAAUAUAAUUUUGAUAGAGUGCUAGAUUUGUGUGAUUAUAUUGAUAUCUUAAUAUUAUUGUAAGUAACAUUAUUCCUAGUGUACUGGAUAUUUAAGAUAAUUUUGAUAUUUUCAUAUCUUUACAUGUGUUUUUUUUUUAAUUCUUCAUCAUAAAAUUAAUUCAUGUAAAUGUUUUCAAAUAUGAAAAUUAUGUUAUUUUUAUGGAUCUAAUAGAAUAUUAUUAAUGCCUUUAAAUAUGUAAUUUAUUUUGUUACAUGACUAUCUUCUAUGAAUUUGUCUAUGAAAUAUUACAAUGGAAUUUAUUUUGCAAUCCUAAAUCAUUGUUGAUCUUUUAUGAAUUCGAUAUAAAUAUUUUAUUCACAUAUACGAUUGAGAUUAUUUAUGAUUGUUUGGGGGCCAGAGUGCCCCGAAGUGCUACAUAGUACCACAUGCAAGUCGUGACGUAUGGAAAAUGAAUUUAAAUAUUUUGGCUCAUUGUCUAUAGUUAUUUUUAUUUUGAUUCUGAUCGUAUAUAUCAUAUAUAUGUUCUGGACCAAUACUGAGUUUCUAUUUUGAGGGUGCACACGAUAUUCUGAUUCUGAUUCUAUUCUGGCUGGUCACUGGGAGUAUAAGUGAUAUUUUGUGACAUGAGCUAAUCUUUUGUUUCCUGUAUUUAUAUCUUAUACGAUUUGUUUUUGUGAUUAAUUAUGACUUUGAUAUCUGUAGAGGGCAUUUGAGUCACUUCUUGAGAGGUGUGUUUAUCGUUGGAGGUGGAGAUUUAUUUACUUGCUAGUUGAAUAAAAGAAUGAUGAAUUUCUAUUUCCUUUAAGCUUGUUAGUGUUCUAAACUUAUAAUUGGGGAGUUUUGAGACUUUUGUUACAUUUAUGAUUUGCGAGAAUAUGUCAAGUAUUCAACUUGUGGAUUUGUUGAUUUGUUUAAUAAAGUUUGAGGUAUUUCAAUUUGAGAUUUUGUGUAAGGAUUUCGAUUUGUAUGUAACCUUCUAUUACCAGGUGUUAAAUUGGGGUGUUACAUAACCACAACUAUUGGACUCUUUUUCAUGNNNNNNNNNNNNNNNNNNNNNNNNNNNNNNNNNNNNNNNNNNNNNNNNNNNNNNNNNNNNNNNNNNNNNNNNNNNNNNNNNNNNNNNNNNNNNNNNNNNNAAAGAAAAGAUAAAGAAAGAAAGAAGAAGAUGAUGAGAGAGAGUGAGAAAGAGAAUGAGAUUGGGGAUUAAGAAGAUGAAAAGUUAAAUUUUUAAUGAGUUUCUUUACAUGGAUUAAUGAACUUUUAUUUUUUACCAAGAAAUUGAAAUGAUUUUGAGUAAACCAUCAUAAAUUAUUUAAACUUUGACAAAUUCUAUAUCCUCGAAAUAGAAAUAUGAAAAUUUACUGUAUGCAUCUUUAAAUAUUGUUUUGCUAAAUAAGAAUUAUGUUAUGACAUGAUUUUUAUACUCCAUCCAUGUCUGAAUUUCAGUCUGAUAUCAAGUUUCAAAUAACAAAAUCAAGUGAUUUUGAGUAAAGUAUUUAUGGUAGUAAAAUUGGUAUUUUAAAUUUGUAGAACCUUUUUUAGUCUUACUAAGGCUACAAUAGUUUUGCUUUUGAAGAUCAAUUUUAGGAAAAUUUAGCAUGCAUAUUCUUAAAAUCCAUUUAAUUUAUUCAUGAUUAUGUCAAAAUGGAGAAGACCAAUUUUAGUAAGUUUCUAGCAUGCAUGUUCUUAAAAUCUAUUUAAUUUAUUCAUGAUUAUGUCAAAAUGGGGAUGUUAUUAGCUAGCAUUGUAAUUAGAUAAAUGUAUUGUUAUUUUUUGCUUAAGAAGUAAUGUCAACAAGAAAAGAAUCAUCAGUGAACUUACUUUAUGUUGCUUAGAGUGCGGUAGGCAUAUUAUGUGCUUUCAGAGAGUUUUGGUUUUCAACUUAUUGAACAAGACCAAAACCUUCAACAGGUACUGGACCAACUUAUUGAGAAGGAACAAGUACUAGACGACACCACAAGUUCAUUAUUAAUAGAUCAAUUUAACUAUGCUAUGCCCCCCUUCUUUGCCACCGGCACACUUUCAGUAUUGAAUUCAGGUGCCAGAACAAUAUCCUCUAAAGCAAUGGGCAUAGUCGAGCUCGUAGUGUCUGUCUCUGUCUCUGUCACAGUCUAACCUAACUGUUCAGCCAUUUCCUAUUAACGAUCAUAGCAUAGCUCCUUCUCAGUAGGUCUACUUGUGACAAUUCUUUCUAACUGAGAGUCUGAAAUAAAAGUCGUCUUUUAGGGCAUCUCAUAAGAACCAUAUUCAUUAUGUCAAAAAUAAGAGAUUCUAGUACUUCGACUAGCAUUAGUUUUCAAUAGAUUCCCAAAAAGAUGUACAAGUCUCGGUAUUCUAAUUGUACUUAUGGCUAGUUAUAGUUUGAGUCUCGCACCUGUGCCAAGUGGUAAUAGCAAGCAGGCUGAGUUCCUUUCUCGUCUCAGACUUAUAAUUGAUUUAUCAGCGACAACAUCAAAUCAACAAAGAUUUGGUGUUACCUGAACAUCAUCCCCCUGACCUUGAGACGUUUGGAAUGGAAGAAUAAUCUGAGUUUGCCUAUACCAACCACAUGUUUUCAUUUUAGAGAGAAUCUUAUUCGGGAUCAAAAGACGGCUAAGGCCUAACGUUGUUAGAGGAGACCUUCUCUUACUGGCAUUCACUUGGAGCUCUCUUUUUAGGGCAACCCUUUCACCGAUCUUCAAAUUGUAUGAGAAGUUGUACUACUAACUCUGUCUACGAUGGGUGAGUGUCGAUUUCAUUACAAACAUAUAUUAACGUAUAUAGAAUAGAAAUAGGAGCAGCUAUUGCCCACUGAUGUUAGCGUAAAGGUCCUUAGUCAAACAUAAGGAUCUUAUUCAUUAAAGGAUGGAAAACGAAGGUAAACCAAGAGUACCGAAACUCAUCAACAAGUAGGCAUGUCCAUUACUAAAUCUUUAAGUAUUAGUAAUGCUACUAGGCACUAGACAUAUCUUCCACUACUUUCAAUCGGGAUAAAUAACUAUUUAAGUGGAAAGGCCUAUCUAUACGGUUCAGUUCUCUCUAGACUUAACCAAUUCGACUAGGGUAGCCUGUUUAGGUGUUAGAUAGUGUCUUCUUAGCCUUGGAUUUUCUUACCCUUAGAUUUUUUCUUCUUUAUGGAUUGCAAUUGUUUGGUUAUAGCCGGCACCGUAGAAAUCUUAGCAAACCUUUUCCUUUUUUGCAGGAGCUCAAUUUUGGAUGACAUCUCUUAGAUAUCAUUCUUCAGCUUCUCUUUUUCUUGAUUGAGAAUUUUAUCACCUAAAACAAGUUCAAUCUCAAUUUGAGAAUUAAGUGAGGUAUCAUUGUUGAGUGUUAGAAAGUGUAUAUUUAUAAAAGAGAAAAUCAUAAUUUUACACUUCAAGUCUCACUACAUCCAUACUUGUAUAUAUUUAAGUCCUUUGUGAUUUAAUUAUGUGUGUUUUAUUUUAAUUAAGUAUUUUAUGUAUUUUAGGGGCAUCAUGGUCAUUUCACAAUGAACAAAAGAUUAGAUAGCAAAGCAGACUGUAAUUUUGGACUCAGGCAGUCGAAAACCUUAUGAGGAGCAUAAAAGAGUAAACGGCACUGUUCACAUGUACGGUACUGUACAUAGGACUGUUCACGACACUGUUCACAACACUGUUCACAUAUACGGUCUGAUGACAUGACGUUGACCGAUGACGUGGCUCGACCGAUGACAUGGCACCAACCAAUGACGUGGCAGCAUUCAAUUGGACGAAUGAUGUGGCAUUGACUGCUUAUGUGGCGUUGACUGAUGAGUUGGCAUUGACCGAUGAUGUGUCACGAUGCUAUUGAACUAAAAUGUUGAUGCGAUGUUGAUCAGUGAUGUGGCAGUAUGUUAGUGGACCAGGAAACGUUCGUACGAUACAUGUAUUACACAGAAUGACAACCUUGAUGAUGUGUUCUAUCUAAUCAGAACUUGCCACGUGGCGCAAUCCUAAGCGUCCAAAUUGUUUUAAUCUGUGGCCAUGAUUUAAUCAUUGUAUCUAAAAAAGGGGGCUCUGCCCCCCUAAUUCGACACCCCUAAAUCCAUUUUUUAGCUCAAUUUUCUGUAAUUCCUUCUCCAUCUUGUAUUUUCUAUGUAUUUUAAUAAAUUUCCAUUUUACCCCUAUUCCAAAUAUGAGUAACUAAUUUUCUUUUAAGCUUAGGUUGAAGGUGAAGUCUCAACAUGUUCCAUGAGCUUAAUUUGGUAAAUUUACUUUCUCUUCCCCUCUAAUAUCUGUGGAUGUUUUGACUUUUCGUCGAUAGAUAAUAAUAAUCUUGUCUAGACGUAGUAGAAGGUUAUUACUAUUUGGCACGAUAAGCCCUUAGCAUCAUAUCUAUUAAUAAGGAAUAUCUAACUCAUGGCGCAUGUUGAUACAGAUCCAGAUACCUAAGCACUUUAUUUCAAUAGUUUCCAGUUUAAUUUAUUCUCGCCAUUCCAAUUUAAAUUCUAGGAUAAUCUAAAUCAAUUUAACCACAAAUCCAAUCACCCACUGAGAAAAUUAACUCUACACAAUUAAAAUCCACCUCCUGGUGGGAUCGACGCUCAUCACCAUUGAUUUAUUCUACAAUAGAUUCGUGCAUUUGUGAGUUCAAUAAAAUUUGUACAACAAGUUUUUGGCACCGUUGCCGGGGAGGUAAGUUUUUUUUUAAUUCGUAGAAUUAAUUUUUGUAAAUAAUUUCUUUUAGUUGUUUUCUUGUAAUUUUUUUUCUUAUUAAAAAAAAAGAAAAAAAGUGAAUCUGCAUUUUAAGGUAAGAAUUUCUUUUCUUUUCUGUUCUUUAAAUUUUUGUAAUUUAGUUUUCAAGUUAUUUUUCUUUGUAAUUUCUCGUUUAUCUUGUUAAUUUAUUUUAAUUUUAAUUAAUUUAUUACACGUAAUUUUUUUUUUCUAUAGCACUUGAAUGUAUUUUCAUAGUAAGGUUGUAACAACGUGAUAAGAUUAGUAUCGUAAUUCCUCAUUCUCUUUAUUUUUACUAGUUUUUUUUUCAUUUCUUUUGUUCUUUGCAUGCAUGGUCAAAUGUCACAAUUACCUAAUAUUGAGCCCAUAGACUUUGAACUGAAAAAAACACUUUGCACACACAAACACAUUAAAAAUAAAAUUGAAAUGGAUAUUCAACAACAACAAUAAGCACCACCGGAGAUGUCAUUUAAGGAUUACUUCAGUCCCUUAGCUAACUUGAGCACAUCAUGCAUAAGAUACCCAAAUGUAGUUGCUAGGAGUUUUGAGUUAAAACCUAGUGUGCUAAAUUGUCUCCCAACAUUUAUGGCCUAGAAAAUGAGGACUCAUAUAAUCAUUUGAAUGAUUUUCAUGCUGUUUGUCAAACUUUUAAAUAUGAGAAUUUUUCAGACGAUGAUAUUAAACUUAGACUAUUCCCAUUUUCUUUAAAGGAUAAAGCUUGUUCAUGAUUCAAUACAUUACCUGCUAAUAGCAUUACACAUGGAAAUAAAUGGUAUCAAAAUUUUUGAAUAAAUAUUUCAUAGUGCAUAAAACUAAUGUUAUUCGCAGGGAAAUUUCAGAGUUUACCCAGAGAGAAGACGAGCAGUUUUUCGAAGUAUGAGAGCGAUUAAAUGAGCUACUUUUAAAGUGUCCACAUCAUGGGUACGAGAAAUUGCACCAAUGCCAAUACGUUUUGGAGGGAUUAUUGCCGCAUGUGUAAGAAUGUCUAAUGACAACAAGUGAAGGAGAGCUAAUGUAAAAAAGUACAUUAGAGAUUUGAGAUUUCUUCCAGCGACAAGCAAAUAAUUCCCAACAACGGAGUUGAUCAGUCAGGAAUACUAAAAGAAUUAAAGAAGUGAAUAAGGUUCACAUUGGCGAGUCAAGUUCAGGAAUUAAAGAAGUCAAAGAGAUGAUUGAAGGUCUUUCCUGACAAAUAACAUCGUUAACAACUGCUAAAUCAAUAGAACCACAUGACCAUGACUCAUACUCAGAUCAAGCCAAUGCCAUAUGUGUAAUGAGAAAAUCAUCAAAUUACAACCCAUAUUCCAACACAUAUACCCCUAGAUAGAGAGACCACCCUAAUUUUUCAUGGUAUCGAGGAUUCCAACAGAAUGGACUAGCAGCUUCAGCUUCACCAAUGCAACAAAUUCCUUAAGUUCCUUAAGCCUCUCAGCCACCAUUUAGACCAUACAAUUAGAAUCAGAACUACUCUCAACCCAGACCAUGGGAAGAUGCAUUCCAGAAUUUCAAGAACCUUACUCAAUCCACGAUUGAGCAACAGAACCGCACCAUUGAUGAACUACAAAAUGAGAUGAGAGUAGACUUUAACUCACAAGCCCAAUCAAUUUCAAACCUCGAGAAGAUGGUUGGACAGCUUGCCUCUUCAGUUCAAACUUUGGCAAUGACUGUUGAGAAAGACAAAUUCCCAAGUCCACCUAUGCCUAAUCCUAAAGGAGUGCAUGAAGCAAGUAUCAGUUCACUACAGCAGCAUGGAGAGGUCAAAGCCGUCAUGACCUUACGAAAAAAAAAAGAAGUCGACAAUAAAGUAGAGAUGCCGGUGACAAAAACAACUCAAAUUGUACCUGUGAAUGCUGAGGACUCAUCAUCGGAGGAGAAAAAAGAAACUAACCCACAAGAAUACGUUCCCAAAGCUCAUUUUCCUCAGAGGUUAGCUAAAGGAAAGAAGGGAAAAUCCACAGGUGAAAUUUUUGAAAUCUUCAAACAGGUAAUUGUUAACAUCCCUUUACUUGAUGCUAUAAAACAAGUGUCAUCUUAUGCCAAGUUUCUUAGAGACUUUUGUACUAAAAAGAGAAAUAUUCAUAUUCAAAAGAAUGCCUUUUUAACAGAAAACGUUAGCUUUAUACUCCAACACAAAAUUCCUCUAAAAUACAAAGACCCAGGCUCCCCCACUAUCUCCUGUAGCAUAGGGAACCACAUAGUUGAGAAUGCUUUGUUGGAUUUAGGAGCUAGUAUAAAUCUGUUGCCUUAGUCAGUAUUUGUGAAACUGAGACUAGGAGAAUUACACCCAACUCCAGUGGUGUUACAGCUUGCAGAUCGGUCCACGAAAAUACUUCGUAGUAUUGUGGAGGACGUGCUUAUCCAGGUAGAUAAGUUUUAUUUUCCUAUUGAUUUCAUUGUAAUUGACACUCAACCAAUCCUGGAUUUAAGGAAGUACAUCCCCAUUAUCUUAGGUCGACUUUUCUUGGCAACUGCCGAUGCUCCCAUUCAAUGCAGGAUUGGAAAUAUGCAGUUAUACUUUGGAAAUAUGACUAUGGAGCUAAACAUCUUCAACAUUGCCAAACAACCUAACAAUGCAGAUGAUGGAAUUGUUGAUGUGGAUUUAAUAGAAGCAUUAGUUGAUAAUACUUUUCUUUUAAACCUUAGUGAUCACCCUUUACAAACAUGUUUAACUCAUUUUGGUUUGGAUUUUGAUAUUGACAGAUUAGUCGAUGAGGUCAACGCCCUACUUGACUCAGCACCAUCCAUGGACACUAAUAAAUGUAAGUCAAGAGUUGAAUAACUAGCACCAUCAGAGAAGAAACUCAACCCAUCAUCAGAAUCACCACCAAAACUCGAGCUUAAAUCAUUACCCAACACUUUGGAAUAUGUGUUCUUGGGAGAAUAAAGUACUCUGUCAGUAAUCAUCUCAUCAUUCCCUAAAUGAUGAACAAAAAAGUAAGUUGUUGGAAGUGUUAAAAGAGCACAAAUGAGUAUUAAGAUGAACUAUAACUGACAUAAAAGGUAUAAACCCAAUAAACUGCAUGCAUUACAUUCACCUUAAUGAAAAUGCUAAACCUACUAAGGAUAUGCAACAUCGGUUGAACCCUAACAUGAAAGAAGUUGUUAGAACUAAAAUCCUUAAGUCAUUAGAUGUAGGUAUCAUUUACCUCAUUUCUGAUAGUUCAUGGAUCAGUCCUAUACAAGUUGUCCCCAAAAAGUCAGGAGUCACAGUAGUUACCAAUGCUGAUAAUGAAUUGAUACCCAUUAGAGUGACUACAGGGUGGCGUGUAUGCAUUGAUUAUAGAAAGUUGAAUUCUGUCACACGUAAGACCAUUUUCCUUUAUCAUUUAUUGAUCAAAUGCUUGAUAGAUUAGUAGGUCAUGAAUUUUAUUGCUUUUUCGAUGGCUACCCAAGAUAUAAUCAAAUUCCCAUAACACCAAAAGAUCAAGAGAAAACCACUUUCACUUGCCCUUUUGACACUUUUGCAUAUAGUAUGAUGCCAUUUGGAUUAUGUAAUGCACCUGCUACAUUUCAAUGAUGCAUGAUAAGCAUUUUUUCUUAUAUGGUUGAAAGAUUCCUUGAAGUCUUUAUAGAUGACAUUUCUUUCUUUGGUGAUUCAUUCGAUCAAUGGUUACAUCAUUUAACAAUAGUUUUGCAAAAAUUUAUCGAGAAUAAUUUGAUAUUAAAUUGGGAGAAGUUGUUAGCCUAAAGGGCUACACAUAAUGUAAUUUUGAUGAUAACAAACAUGAGUAUUAAGUGAUUUAAUAAAUAUUGUAUUUAAUAUUUUCACUAGUUUUUGAAGGGUAAAAUUUAUGCAAGUGAAUCAAGUGAAAUCAAGCUCAAGACACUCAACGGACAACGGCGAAAUCAAGAAUAAAAUUUAGAGCUCAACAGAAAAAUUAAUAGGAUAACUUCUUGUAAAGUCGGUAUGAUUUAAUUGAUGCAUGAUUUAACAUUUGAGAAGCUUAAGAGAUUUAUUUAAACAAUUACUUUUUAUAAACUAAAAGGUUUUAUUUUUAUAAGGUAAGAUAUUUUGUGGAUUUGAGUAAUUUGUACUUAAAUGAAAAGUUUUGCAAUCUUUGAUUUUAAUAAGUAUUAUUUUGAAUUUCGGAGUUGGACCUUUUUGCAAACAUUUGAAAUAUUUUGGGCCAUAAUAUAAUUUAUGAACAUUUUGGACUAAAGAGAAAGAUUUUGAGAACUUUGAAAAAUAUGGGUAUUGUGUUAAAAUUUUGAAAAAGCGCCUCUUUGAAAAAUAAUAAUAUAUUUGGGUUAUUUCAUAAGUUCAGAAAGUUUUGAAAUGGCAAUCACUAUUUAAAAAUUCUAAAAUUAGACUUAUUUACAAAGUUUUAUAAUAUUUGGGUCAUAGUAUAAUUAUAAAAAGUUUUGGGCCAAAGUGUUAUUAUGGUGAACAGUAUUACUGUAGCAAAAUUUAAAAAUAGCGGUAAAAUCACUGUUACAAGCGGCUAGCCGGUUAAAUCAAGCGGCUAACCGCUUGAUUGCGGGAAUUUAUCCAUAACGGCUAGUUUUCGGGCUUUAACUAUAAAAGCUCAACUCCAACUUCAUUUUAAGGACUAAUGCAAGCAUAAAUAAGAUCAUAUAACAUAUAUUGAGCUUCCAAAUCGCAAAUCAUCCUAGACUAAAUUAUUAUUGUGCUAUUAUUUGCAUAUAUACUCUUAAAGAGAGUUUUUGUUGUAAUUUUCAUUUCUUAUCAAAUUGUGAGUGUACAAGUGUGAGAAAUACUUAGGGUGAAGAGAUUGGGGAGAUAAUCUCCUGAUUGUAAAGGUUCGUUGACAUCUUAGAAGUCAAUUGUAAGAACUUGAAGCCUUAGGAGGCUUGGAUAAUGAAAUCCUCGAGCUUGGUUGGCUUGAAGGUAUGGACGUAGGCGGGGAUUGCCGUACCACGUAAAAAUCCGUGUGUUUGUUUUUCUCUUCCCUUACUCUUUAUUGUUAUGCUUGUUUGAAUUUAUUAUUUUCUAUUUCAUUAAGGCGUUAGAUUAAUUUUUUGUGCGAAUUGUAUUGCAUUAGUUUUUAAAUCCCAAUUCACCCCCCUCUUGGGUUGCAUAACUUGCAUUUCAGAAGUGCCAUUUUAUGGUAAAAUAAUGUAUAGUUCUCGGUCACAUCAUUUCAAGCAAAGGUAUUGAGGUUGAUAAAGCGAAGGUGGAUCUCAUUUCCAAACUUUCUCCACUUAAAACAGUUAGAGAAGUAAGAUCUUUACUUGGGCAUGCUGAUUUUUAUAGACGUUUCAUUAAAGAUUUUAGUAAAGUUUCUCGACUUUUAUGCAAUCUACUUGCUAAGGAUGUAUCUUUUGUCUUUGAUUAUGCAUGUCUUGUGGCAUUUGAAAAACUAAAACGAUUGUUGACAUCAUCACCCAUCAUUCAGCCUCUAAACUGGAGUUUACCAUUUGAGCUUAUGUGUGAUGCAUCUGAUUACGUAGUAGGAGCAGUAUUAAGAUAAAGAGUUGAUUGAAUUCCCCAUGUUAUUUACUAUGCUAGUAUGACAUUGAAUGAUGCACAAUUGAACUAUUCAACCACUGAAAAAGAAAGGCUAGCAGUAGUGUUUGCAUUAGAGAAAUUUCGAUCUUAUCUCAUUGGUUGUAAAAUAAUUGUGUUCACAUAUUAUGCUGGUCUUAAAAAUAUCUUCUUACAAAAAAAGUUACAAAAGCUAGACUAAUUCAUUGGGUGUUACUUUUGUGGGAAUUUGACUUGGAAUCUAAAUAUAAGAAAGACACAAAAAGUGUUGUGGCUGACCAUCUCUCUUGUCUCCAUUUUGACACAAUAAUGAUACUAUUACCAUUGAAUGAAUCAUUUCUAGAUGAACAAUUGAUGAAUGUGGAAUAUUACCAUGGUAUGCUGAUAUAGUUAAUUAUCUUGUUACAAGUCAAUUUUCAGAGCAUUGGACUAAGUAGGACAAAGCCAAAUUUUUAUGGAAAUAAAGAGUUUCUUUUGGGAUGACCCUUAUCUGUUCAAGUAUUGUGCAGAUCAAAUGAUCAGACGAUGUAUCACAGAAAGUGAAUUUCAAAACAUUCUUUCAUUCUGCCGUGAACAAGCUUGUGGAGGCCAUUUCAGCGCUAAGAAAACAACUACUAAAGUUUUACAAUGUGGUUUCUAUUGGCCAAUUAUAUUUUGAUAUACUUACAUUUUUGCUCUUCAUGUGAUAGGUGCCAAUGAAUAGGGAGCAUUACAAGAAGGAAUAUGAUGCUACUAAAUCCAAUUUUAGUAGUUGAGAUUUUUUAUGUAUGAGAUAUCGAUUUCAUGAGACCCUUACCCCCUUUUUUGGGCCAUCAAUACAUAUUGGUUGCUGUUGACUACAUAUCAAAAUUUGUAUAAGCAAUUCCAUGUAGAACCAAUGAUUAUAAGGUGGUGAUAGAUUUUUAAAAAGCAACAUUGUGUUAUGCUUUAGAUUUCCUCGAGCAAUAAUCAGUGAUGGUGGUACCCACUUUUGUAACAAAUCAUUCAAAGCUCUUUUGACAAAGUAUUCCAUCACUCACAAAGUGGCGACCCCAUAUCAUCCGCAAACCAGUGGCCAGGUUGAGAUCUCCAAUCGAGAAAUAAAGCACAUAUUAGAAAAGACAGUGAGGCAAGACAUAAAAGAUUGAUCAUUAAGACUUGAUGAUGCAUUAUGGACAUAGAGAACAACUUUCAGGACCCCGAUUGGGAUGUCACCCUACAGGUUAGUGUAUGAAAAAACUUGCCACCUACCUAUAGAACUUGAGCAUCGUGCGUAUUGGGCCAUCAAGAAAUUCAACUUUGACAUGCAACAAGUUAGCUCAGAAAGAAGAUUAUAGCUGUCAGAACUUGAAAAAAUUCGCAAUGAUGCAUACAAAAAUCCCAAGAUUUACAAGUAGCGAAUGAAAGUCUUUCAUGACAAGCAAAUUUUGAGAAAAUCUUUCACCCUAGGUCAGAAAGUGCUUUUAUUCAAUUCUCACUUGCACCUAUUCCCAGGUAAGUUACGCUUUCGAUGGUAGUUACGCUUUCGAUGGUCUGGUCCCUUUAUUAUCCAUACUGUUUUUCCACAUGGGGCAGUUGAAAUUAAGAAUCUAAAGAACGGUGUCACUUUUAAAGUUAAUGGUCAAAGAUGAAAGCGAUAUCUAGAGUACCAACCACAUGGAGAGGACACCGAAAUAAAUUUGAGUGACCUACCAGAUUUGCAUUGAGAUUUUUCUUUCUUUUCGAUGAUUUAAUUUUUCUUUAUUUUUUUUACUAUUCUUUUGCUAAUUGAAAUUAUUUUUGCAUAAUUGUGUUUGUUUAACCAUUAAAUUUUCUUUUAUCAUUGUUAAUCAUGAGUGCCUCAGCUAAACAGAUCCUCUUGGACAUUCUUAGACGACUUCAACGUGUAAAAUCUCAUCUCUAAAGCCAUAUUCGAUUUUGUAAAACACAUCAUAUUUGGGAUCUACAACCACCAAAGUUAGUAUCCCAUGUUGAGGCUUUAGAAAGACAACUCAGAGAUAUUGAGGGAGGUAUCUUCGACAUCCAGUUGGAGCUUGAGGUAAAUUCAAUAAGAGGACGAUUGUAAUUUUCUUUGUGUGUUUUAGUUUUUACUCCGUUUGUGUGUUUUUGUUUGUUACCCCGGUUAAGUGGCGGAUAACGGUACUCCGUGACAAUCAAGUCGGUUACUUCAGUUUUCCAUAAUAAUUGAUAUUCUGAGGCGAAGGUAUGGACAGAAACGAGAUUUAAGCAAAGCUUCACAAUCAAUUCCCUUCACUUCCUCAGAAUACCCUCCUUACUAUCUAUAAAGUUUGAUCCCAGAUUUUACUGUUUCCUUUUUUACUCUCGAGCCAUGUGCUUUACACGUUAAUUGACACUGACAUGCUACCUCAUAUACAGCUGUGACCCACUGUCACCAAGAUCCUUAAUAUGAUUUCUUUUAAGCACUUAGAAAUUAUUUUUCAAGAGUAUUCCAAUGGCAGCUACUCAUAAUAAACAAUUCAAGAACAUUUGUGUGCUUUCUGGAUUUAACUAUGGCAAACAUAAAGAGUUCGUUGAGACAGCCAUAGAUCUUGGUCGAAGAAUAACAAAGAGAAAAUUAUACUUGGUGUAUGGAGGAGGUAACCGAGGGUUCUCAAAAUUGGUCUCAGACCCGCUUAUGUCAGGGGAAGCCAAGUGUUAGGCAUCAUCCCAAGAGCCUUAAAACCUUUGGGCAGUUUGUCUGACUCACCGAUUGGAGAAGAGUUAGUCGUCUUAGGUAUGCAAGAGAGAAUAACUAAAAUGCUAAAUCAUGCUGAUGCUUUUAUUUUCCUACCAGGAGAUCUUGCAACUCUAGAGACACUUAUCACGUUAGCAUCUUGGGUCCAUCUAAACAUUAACCAGAAACCCAUCGAUUUGUUAAAUGUCAAUAACUUUUAUUACGGCUUUAUCGCAUUUCUUAACUAUACAAUAAAACACUCUUUCAUUCAUUCCACAGCAAAAAAAAGUUUUUAUUUGUGCUCACAUUGCUAAUGAGCUACUUGAUCUGUUACAAGCUUAUCGAUCAGAGCAAGAUCCCAAGACCUUGGUGUUGCAGUAUCCAAAUAAUGAUGGUAACAAUAGCCGCAGUAAGAAGUGCAAAUUAGAUUUAACUCUCCGUUUGUAAAUAUUUUCCUCUGUGUUACACCACACAGGUGAUGUCUCCUAAACUCUACUUCUUUCUUUUAAAACAUUGAGGAUAAUGUUUCGUUCUGGUUGGGGGGGGAGAGAAUAGUUGACAAUUGUGGAAUAUCUCAAUCUUGGUUAAGUUUUUAUUAAUUUUUUGUUGUAGAGACUAACUGUGACUAACUUUUUGAGUCGAAAAUGGCUGAAUAUGAAGUGUAGUGACUGUAGAAACGCAUCUUUUUGGUUUGGAAGUAAAAAACUAAAUCCAGACAUUUUUUUUCUUUAUUAAGCUUUGACAGUUAUUUUUUUUUAAUUUCUUCUUUCUAAUUUCUCCUUUAUAAAUAUACACUUUCAAAUUUUUGAGUCGAAAAUGACUGAAUAUGGAGUGUAGUGACUUUAGAAACGCAUCUUCUUAGUUAAAAAAAAAAAUCAGACAUUUUCUUUUCCUAUCAUUUUAAGUGUAACUUUUCUAAUUUGUUUUUCUGCAUCGGUUUCACCUUUUUGCAUGCAUAUUUUCUUUUCAUGUUUAGAAUAAGUUGGGGGAUAGAAUGUCGUUUGAAAAAAAAAAUUAUGUAAUUUUUUUAAACAUUGGAUGACAUGAUGACUUUUAAAUUUUAGUAUUUGUAUCAUCUUUAGUCAUAAGUGAUGUUACGCCAUGUUUGCUACUCUACAUGUUGAUGUCGUUGACAAAUAUGAGUUGCUUGUAGGAAUGCACACGUCAUAAUGAAUACCAAGUGAGUUUUUAAGUUUGUCAAUUUUCUUGGAGAGUAACCUUUUUGUCCAUUUUUUAUACAGCUUAGCAGUUUAUUAUUUUAUACACGCUCUCUAGAUUUCUUUUAAGUCAAUCCUAUAAAAAAAGGUUAAAUAGAUUAAAAAAAAAGAAAAAAAAAGUGUUGCUACAUCUGAAAGUCCAUCUAAUUAGUAGAUAUGGAAGAUUAUUUAGAGCCCUAAAAGACGAUGGAAAUGCCAUCUUUGACCCGUUUGAGCAUUUUUAAUCAUCCCUUUUGUGAAAUAUCUAUAGUUAACCCUUUUGAGCCUUUCAUAUAUAAAAUUUUUUUUGUCAACUUAUCAUCUUGACCUACUCCGAUUUGGAGUAUUACCCGAUAUCUUACAAGUUCGAUAACUUAUUCAUAUUUGAGAAAAAUGUAAAUAAUUAGUUUGUUUAGUAAAGUUGUGCCAUACAAAAAAAAUAAUUUUUUUAAAAAAGAGAAAAAAAUAAUAAAUAACAAAUAAACGAAAUACACCUUGUAAUUUCCAAAAGAUCUCUACUUUUUCUCAAACAUAUAUUUUGUUUUCCUUAUUUUCCCUCCUUUGUUAGCUAUGUCCCUAGCCUACGUUACGUCCUAAUAAAAGUCCUUGAUUUUAGAGAUCUAUAGUCUGAAGUAGAAGCUAGUUAUAUGGGGUAAAAAGAUGUAGUGAUGCAUAAAAAGACAAAUAAAUAAAUACAUUAGUUUGACUAACAUUUUGUUUGACUAAGAUUGUGUUAUUUCUAAGCUGUGGGCAUACUCCUUUCAUCUUGGUGAGAGUGUGUGAUAUCACUUCUUUAUUAUUUUCUCUCAAUUUACCAUUCAUUGAAGUGACUAUAUUUAUUGGGUUUAAUUUUUUUUGUGAGAGUGUCACUAUUACCGGUGAGCUUUUGGGGUUUGACAUAUCAUUCUUGAAAGUGGCUUGAUUACUAUAGCUGUGAUAAAGCUUGCUGGACUGAUGCAUAUGGAUGGUUGAUGUGGGUGUGAUGUUUGUUUAGACUGAAGAUAAUGCUUAUACUUUUAUUUGAUUGCUAUCAUUAGUCUGAUUGAACAAACACAAUUGUUUUUUUUUUUAAAUCAUUUUGGGUUUGAAUUUUGUCUUCGCUUUGUUUGCUAGGGACUAGCAAUAAGUUGGUUGGGGGUGUGUUGAGUGUUAGAAAAUUUAUAUUUAUAAAGGAGAAAAUCGUCAUUUUACACUUCAAGUCUUACUAACAUCUCAACUUUUAUAUAUUUAAGUCCCUUGUGAUUUAAUUAUGUGUGUUUUUUUAAUUAAGUAUUUUGUGUAUUUUAAGGGCAUCAUGGUUAUUUCACAAUGCACGAGAGAUCAGAUAGCAAAACCGACAGCAGUUUUAAAUUCAGGACAGUCAAAAACCUUAGGAGGAGUAUAAAAGGGUAAACGACACUGUUCACAUGUACGGUAUUGUACAUGGUACCGUUCACAACACUGUUCACAUAUACAAUUCGAUGACAUGGCGUUGACCGAUGACAUGGCAUCGACUAAUGACGUGGCAACAUUUGAUUGGACAAAUGAUGUGGCAUUGACUGCUUAUGUGGCAUUGACUGAUGAGUUGGCGUUAAUCGAUGAUGUGUCACGAUCCUAUUGAACUAAAAUAUUGAUGCGGUGUUGAUCGGUGAUGUGACACUAUGUUAGUGGACCAGGAAACAUACGAUACAUGCAUUACACAGAAUCACAGCCUUGAUGAUGUGUUAUAUCCAAUCAGAACUUGCCAUAUGGCGCAAUCCUGAGCGUCCAAAUUGUUUUAAUCCGUGGCCAUGAUUUACUUAUUGUAUCUAUAAAAAUGGGGCUCUCCCCUUUAAUUCGACACCCUUGAAUCCAUUUUCGAGCUCCAUUUUUUGUAAUUCCUUCUCUAUCUGAUAUUUUCUAUGUAUUUUAAUAAAUUUUUAUUUUACCCCUAGUUCAAUUAUGAGUAACUAAUUUUAUUUUAAUUUUAGGUUGAAGGUGAAGUCUCAACAUGUUUCAUGGGUUUUAUUUAGUAAAUUUACUUUCUCUUCCCCUCUAAUAUAUGUGGAUGUUUUGACUUUUCGUCGACAGAUAGUAAUAAUCUUGUCUAGACGUAGUAGAAGGUUAUCACUAUUUGGCACGAUAAGCCCUUAGCACCAUAUUUAUUUGAGUGUGGUUCAUGAGGAGUGGAAAUCCCCCUCAUGAUUUAAUUGGCAUUAAUAUUGAAUAUCUAGUUCAUGGUGCAUGUUGAUGCAGAUCCAAAUACCCAAGCACUUUAUUUCAAUAGUUUCCAGUUUAAUUUAUUCCCGCCAUUCUAAUUUAAAUUCUAGGAUAAUCUAAAUCAAUUUCACCACAAAUCCACUAAGAAAAUUAACUCUACACACGAUUAAAAUCCAGCUCCUCGUGGGAUCGACACUCAUCACCGUUGAUCUAUUCUACAAUAUAUUCGUGCACUUACGAGUUCAAUAAAAUUUGCACAACAAUCAUCAUAUGUUACGUCCUUAGGACGAGUGUGCACCCAAUUAUUAUCAUUAUCAUAGACAUGAUCCCUUUUGCUACCGGUAGCAAGUAUAACUUUGCUUUCCUUUUUAUUAUGUUUAGAUCCUUCCACUCUAUUUUGAAGUAAUUAUCCACAGUAUUCUUCACCUCUGACUAAGGCUUCGUACUCGCCUAAAUGUAAUUGUGGCGUCAAGCCUUCAAUCAAAUAGUUUUCUAGAAGUUGUAUCCAUGCAAAAAGUUCCAAUUCCGUCUCCUGUUUGAGGAGACAAAAUUGAUCGAGAAUAGGCAGAGGGAUUCCUCCAUUACCAUUAUGGAAAUAGGUGACAUCAGGAAUAUGAUGGAAAGGGCUAGGGUAGGCUCUACAUUAGGAAUAUGAUGGAAAGGCCCCGACCCUAGAAGCGAAUUCGAAUCGGCGCUUGAGGCAGAGUUCACAUCCUCAGAGCCCGAGAAAAAAUUCAUAACACUAAUGUCAAGCGCCAAGAGUUAAUUACAAAAAAUAAAAUAAAAAUAAAUAAAACUAAGUCUAACCAAUGGUUUAGUUAAAAAGAUGAUUAAAUGGAAAUGAAAAGUUUUCAUUUUUGUUUUGUUUCCUUUCCUCUAUUACGACCAGCGCGGUUGUUUGUAUUUCAUUUUCUUUUCCCAAGCCCUUCUUAGAGCACUCACUAAGUUACUUAGGGAAUCUCAAAUCUCAUUGCAUUGACCAUAGUAGCUUGCAUCCAAUGCAUUCUUUUUUAUACUAUAUGGUAUACUGAACACAAACUUAAUCUUGAUAAAAGAAAAAGUGAAGGAAAGUUUCUAAUAAAUAGAUUUCUUGCUUGAUCUCACCUUUACUUUUCAUAUUCCUUGCACUAACAGUCUUAUUAUAUUUGCAAUAUCUUAAAUGAUCUCAUUGAGGAAAUUCAAUAAGUGAUCAAAGAACCCUUUCCUUAUUUGAUUCUUCUUUUGCCUGAACUAUGCCUUAAAACGUCUUUGGAUAAGCUCGAGGCCUUUAAUAUAUAAUGAACACAAUUUGCCAAGAGUUGGUUGUGACAAAAGUGGUUAAGAUGUCCAUCUUUGGUCAAGAAUGAGUAACAUAUUAGUCAAAGAGAGCGGCUACGAAGAGGAGGUUGUUGAUACAGUUUUCUUUAUUCGGUGUCAUUUUGAAUCUACAUUGAUUCUGUAUCUAAAAAAGCCAAUGGGCUUGUCUGUUCUCAUUGGUCCAAAGGAAUAAAAGAGAACAAGUAAACUAGGCCCCACGGUGUCCUCUCCCUUAACAGGCUGGACAAAGAUCCCUGGGUUGAAGAAACUUUUUGACUUCUACUAGAUCACGAAGAUGGGAUAUUCUCCGUCUUCUUCUUUAUAGAAAGGAGAUCCAAAUCUCUUAUCAAUGCCAUUGUAACCAGGUUGGUCUCAUAGUUAUGCCUUCGGGCAUGACAUAUUGGUCACGAUUUAAUGUGAAAUAUGGAUCAUCUAGUGGUUCGCUCGCUCCGUUAGAGAGAAGAAAACAUAGAAUGAGUAAGACAUGAACUUGCGUUGACAGAGAAGAUAAUUUUGUUUACACUUUUGAGAGUCCAAGAAUUAGAAAGAGGUGGAAUACUUAGUUGUGUUGUGAGACAGGAAAGCCCUCUUACUAUGAAAUCAUGUACUUAUUCAUUUCAUUAGUAGAAGAUCGAGCUAGUUCGUCUAUCACUGUAGUGAGGCAAAGCGAAAGUGCUUGAAAGCAAGUAUCCAUAUCCUUUCUAGCUGGCUAAGGCUGGGCGGAGUGAACCAGUAGCAAAGUUGGGGUUUAACAACAACAUGAAAGAAAUGUUGUUACCAUAAUGAGGUGGAAUACUUUUUAACCCAGUCAAAAGUUAUCUAUAUUUUCCUCGAUUGAGUCUAGUAGAGGAAGGGAGAUAGGAGAUAGGAAUGAAGUGAAGCCACUUCUUAUUUGUGUUUUCACAAUAUUUGAAAAAUGAUGUGAUGAUUUGCAUGUUGCAAGAUUUUUAGUUGCAAGUUGCAUUCUGAGAAUUGAAAAUUGUGUAGAUAAACAAUGAGUCCCAGUGAGAUAAUUAUUUCGUAUUGUAGUGAUAAAAGCAACAAAGUAGAUUUGUCUUUAUUAUAGUUUAGUUUAGAAGUGAAGUCGAAGUCCAUUAUAUGUUUUUUUUCUAAGCUUUCAAGCCGGUGAACGAGAUUUCUCUAUCUUCUCAGGGGAGGGGAGCUGGGCAGAAGGGUUUGAUGAUGAAUCAAAGUCCAAAUGUUGAUGCUUUCUAUCCCGCAGCUCAGUGAAAAAAUGAAAUCAAUCCAAUCGAAGAGGACCAAUCCAUCAAUAGCUAUUGCACUAGCCCCCCUUCUCGACCUGGUCUUGGCACCUGUGAUACAUUUCUUUAAUUAAUAUAAACAAAUGGAUUUGGUACUCCUAGAGGAUAGAGAAGAUUCGGUCCAUUGUGGUGUCAAUGUCUCUUGAUCAACCUUCCGUAUCGAAUAAGAAAUUUAGUAUUGAAAACAAGAUAAAGGGGGUUGGAUGUCAUUCAAGGAUUACAUUUAGUAAAGCUAAAAGCAUCUACCUGGAUGAUACGAGAGAAAAAUUUAUUCAUCAUUCACGUAUGUAUACCAAAUGAGAUCCAGGAUGAAUUGACUUUAUAUAACUACAAUUUGAUACGAAAUUAUACAAUAAUAGGUGAGUUGGUACCAACAAGUGCUCCUUUGCUAAAUAAGAUGAAAAAUGGUAACGUACAUAAUUGUGAAAUAACAGAUUUUUUGUUCAGUUGGGCUUGGGCAUAGGGAUAGGACUGCCCAUAUUCAAAGUCAAAGAGAGAGGCUAAGAAGUAAGUGUUUCCGUUACACACCUAUUCUCUUUAUUUCUUUUAGUUGAGAUUGGAAAUAAAAUACUAAAAGUGCCCUACUCCAUUAAUAGGUCGGCAACGACUGGUAGGGAAAACGAUUGGAUAUAGAGUGGAAUGUGGAAUGAAUCCAAAGGCUAAUCUGACACUCUGAUAAUCCCAUGAGAGGAGAGUAAGGAUCCUCCAACCUGAGUUUGAAACUCUGAUAUGUAAAGGAGGAGUCCAACUCCUCCUGAAAUUGUAUUAAUUGUAGAAGAAACUACAACUUCCAUUAUAAAUUUAGGGAAUUAGAAAAGCCCAAAUCUAUAAAAGACAUAGUGUAUAUAUAUACAACUUCUUCAAGCCCCAGCCCUACUGGAGGAACUACAACUCGUGAUACAAUGCCCACUAGUAAUAAACUUAGACUGUGACUCAUACAAUGGGUCUCGCGGGACAAAGAAGGUCUCAAAGGAAAAGAGUAAGCAAGUAGAUCUACAUCAGUUCAAUCUUGUUUGUUAUCUUAGUUGUUGCUUUUGCCUUAUCGAGAAAGACAAAACUGAAAGAACUCUCUUCUUCAUUGACUUCCUUGAAUGACUAAUGUUAGCGAAAAGAACCAAAAGGUUAUUCCAUCCAAUCUUUAGUGAUCUCUUUCUCGGCUGAUUUGAAUUCUAAAUUUUAAACAGUUAACAAUACGUUAUUACGUUUGAUCUAUUCUUGCAAUAAGCUUCAUGUUGGUAGAGAGGGGUGCUUUGAUCUCACUUGGAAUACAAAGCAUGGAAUCUGACUUGAGAAGACUGUACAAAAAAUCCUUUAAUAGAAUGAUGUUGCAAAAAGGAUGAAUAUAAUAAUUGAAGAGAGAGUCAGGUGUCUGCAUUUUAAUGCCAAGCUUCCUAAAUUAUUUUGGGUAUAGGGUAUGCAUACUGCAGUAAACCAGGGAGAGUUUGGACUCGGAAAGAUGUUUCUUAUAAACACUUAAGAGUGUUUGGCUGUAGAGCAUAUGUUCACAUCCGUAAAGAUAAGAGAUUGAAGCUUGAUGAUAAAGCCAAGGAAUGCAUUUUCUUAGGCUAUGAACAUGAAGAAUUAAGUGCAGAUUAUAGGAUCUACUAGCAAGGAAGUUGAUUAGAAGUAGAGAUGUUGUGUUCCUUGAAGAUCAUAUAGUUAGUACUGUAGAGAAGAGUAAUGGGUUUCAGUUAUCUUUAGAGAUUCCUAUUAUUCCAACUUCAAUUUCUCCAUUUAUACUUCAUGAUGAUCGUGGGGGAGCUCGAGAGGAUAAUAAUGAUGGUCCAAUAAAAGUAGUUGACCAGGUACUUCUAGAACCACCUACACCACUAGUUGAGCCAUAAUUGGGGAGAUCCACCGGAGAACAAUGACCUUUCACUAGAUAUCCUCCACAUGAGUAUGUGAUGCUUACAUAAGGAGGGGAGCCAAAAUGUUUUAAAGAAGCCAUGUCUCACCAGCAUAAAAAUGAGUUGGUUAAAGCCAAGCAAGAGGAGAUGAAAUCCUUGAAUGAGAGGCACACUUAUAACUUAGUAAAACUUCCUAAAGGAAAGAGGACACUGAAGAACAAGUGGGUUUACAGGUUGAAGAUUGAAAAUAACUCACAACAACAGUACAAGGUUAUAUUAGUUAUGAAUGGCUUUGGUUAGAAGAAAGGUGUUGAUUUUGAAGAAAUAUUUUCUCCUGUGGUGAAGAUAUCUUCUAUCGAAGUGGUUUUGGGAUUAGCAGCUAGUUUGAAUUUGGAGAUUGAACAGCUCAAUGUCAAGACAAUGUUUUUGCAUGGUGACUUAGAGGAGGAAAUAUACAUGAAGCAAUUUAAAGGGUUCAGUGUCAAAGGCAAAGAACAACUUAUAUAUAAGUUAAAGAAAAGUUUAUAUAGUCUGAAAUAGGCACCAAAACAGUGUUACAAAAAGUUUGAUUGUUUUAUGGAGAAUCAUGGCUUCCCCAAGACUAUGUGUGACCAUUAUGUUUUUGUGAAGAAGUUUGAUGAUGAUGAUUUCAUCAUUCUUUUGCUUUAUGUAGAUGAUAUAUUGAUUGUUGGCCAAGAUGCUAGUAAGAUUGACAAUAUAAAGAGAGAGUUUAGUAGGUCUUUUGCAAUGAAGGGCUUGGGACCGGCGAAAUAUAUUCUUGGCAUGAAUAUUUCUCGCGAUAAAAAAUUAGAGAAGUUAUGGUUAUCGUAAGAAGUAUAUAUUGAAAGGUUUCUUCUAAGAUUUAACUUAGGUAAGGCAAAAGCUGUUUGUUCUCCACUUAUAGGUCAUUUUAAGCUUAGUUCUGAGGAUUGUCCUACAAGUGAGAAAGGGGGAAAAAAGAUGAAAGGAAUUCCUUAUGCUUCAGUAGUUGGUAGUUUGAUGUACGCCAUGGCUCGUAGAAGACUAGCUAUUGCUCAUGGAGUUGGUGUAGUCAGUUAGUUUCUCUACAAUUCGAGCAAAGAAGAACUAGACAACAGUAAAGUGGAUUAUUAUAUAUCCUAGAGGCACUCAUAACAGCCCAAACUUCAACAGUGUGGUGCUUGUUCUACCACUGAAACAGAGUAUAUUGCAAUCGCUGAAGGUUAGAAAGAAACCUUGUGGGUGAAGAAUUUUUUACAAGAGUUCACUACAACAAUUAUGGCCUUUAGUAGCAUUAUAUUGUAGCAUUUAUUUUAAGAAUGUUACCAAAUAUCAAUUUAUUAUAACGUUUUACAAAAUGAUGCUACCUUUGAAAUAUGACAACCAUUACAUUUCGUUUUUAAUGACAUUUGAUCAUUACUAGUGGCAUUUUUGCAUAUGCUACAUAUAGUAUUGAAUUAUAUAGCAUUUAGGAAAUGCUACAAUAUAACAUUAAAUAAAGUAGCAUUUGAAAAAUGUAAUGGAAGAGUAAUAAAUAUAAUAAUAUUUUAAAAUAGCAUUGAUAACAUUCUAUUGGUAGCAUUUUGAUUGAUAAAAUAAAUUAGUAUUCGAAAAAUGCUACAAGAUAAAAGGAUUGAAAUGUUAGACCAUCAAUAUCUAUUGGUAGCAUUCUAAAAUUAUACUAUAGAAUAUUAAUUAAUAAAGAUAACAUUUUAAAAAUGCUACAAGAUAUCAGUAGAUAUAAUAUCAUUGUUUUUGCUAGAAAAUGCAGUAGCAUUACCACAUUUUAAAAAUAUAUAAAACAAUGAAAAGACAAUAAACCCAACUUAAAAAAUGCAAAAAAUGGAGUGAAAAUUAAACUAAAGAUGUACAAAAUGGGUAGUUUUAGUAGAAGACAAUUACCUACAAAAGGGGUAAGUUCAGAAGAAGGUGGUACCCUAAAAAGAAAAAACAAAAACAAACGAAAGAUGCCUACAUUAUUUCCCUUCCCACUGUAGCUUUAUAGAGAAUUCUCCUCUAAUGUCUAUCCUCCAUUCUAAUACUCACUAAAUCUCAAAAAGGAAAAAGGGAAAAAGAAAAGAAAAAAAUGGAUGACGAUUCCCUGGCCACUUCACAUAUAUUCGCUGACUUGAGAAAGAUUAGGCUGGCUACUCGGUAAUUUAGAAGUGAUCUAAUUGAUUUGGUAAGGAUUCUCACUCAUACAACUUCAAUUUCGCUACUAUACCCAUGGUCGAAACAAAUAUAUAACCCCAAUUUGGGUGCUCUUUCUUCCAUCUACAUGAGCAAUUAAUGAUUAAAAUGAUUUAUUUACUAUUUGUAUUUGGGUUUGAUGAUUGAACAUUUAAAAGGAAAAAUCAUGCUAUCUUCUUAAUUAUUUUUGGAUUAUUGAUAGUUUUAUAACUUUUUUUUAAUAAUUUUUUUUAAUCUCUAAAUCCCUAGCAUUCCAGCAAUAUUUACUAUUAGUUGCAUCUGUCUAAUUGUUUUUAGCUUAUUUGCUAUUAUUAUACCUUGACUGGUUAUGAUUUCUUUCUCUCCUGAGCAAAUUGAUCUUGGGUUUUGAUAUAUUUUGUAAUCGUUAGUAUUAACACAAUUUUAAUUCUAGAAUCUCAAAGUUAUUGUUUGCUUGGCAUAGUCUUAGGAUUUGAUGGAGGAAUUAUCAGCUUCCCACUCAAUAGAUUUGUAGCAAUGUGCAUAUCAACACUAAAGUAGGUUUAGUAAACAAACUUAAGUCCCAAUAUAAUUUUAUGGCAUUGUUUAUUUCAUUUUAACAUUUUUCAAAACUUGUUUAGGGGCCAACAUCUCUUUAACAAUUAUUAAAGUUUUUGCAUUAUAAAUUUUAUGGGUUGUGUUCUUAAACUAACUCAUAUUUUUUGUGUUUUAUAUGUGUAACUUGGGGAAAAUGAGCAAGAAAGAAUGAAGUUAAGACCUGAUAAUAUGUUAUCAAUAAGUGAGUGGAAAAGUUUUGUGAAAGAAAAAGAAACGGUGAAAAAUUUAAGAUAAGUGUAUUACUAUAUUAGAAUAUGUAAUUGUAGCUAUAUCUCUGUAACUGAACAAAGCUUAUUCAAUUGUGUAGGAAAGAAAUGAAAUAUUUAGAAAGAUUUGCUAGACACAAAUCCCAUAAACAACAAGGCAUAUAUGAGUUGUUAGAACGACGGAAGAUAUGGUUAAUAUAUAUAUAUAUAUAUAUAUUUCCAUAAUAAAAAUUUAGCUAAACAAUCAUUUCUUAAAUUAUUUUCUAUUAUAUAAAAAAAGUAGUAUUAUUUCGAAAAUAAUUGUCCGAUAUGUGAAAGCUAGUUGAAGAGCUACAUAAAAAGGCGGCAAGUAUGUAUUAUGUUUUAUUCACUUUUAUAUAAUUGUUAUAAUAUUUAGUUAUUGAAUUUUUUUUUUUCAUUAUAGAGUCAUUUUCAUGAAAGCCAAGCAUGUAGGAAUCCUCCAAAAAUACCAUUGACUUUUUCACUGGUAAGAAUACUAUUUACAUUUUAAAUUCAAUUAAAGCAUGAAAAAUAAAAAUAUUGAAGGAUUAUCUUAAAUGAUAAUAGAUUUUUGGUUUUUAAAUUUUCCUUGUAUUGCAGUUGAAGAGUGUGAAGGUAUUCCCAAAAGUGACUAAGUGUAUGAUGCUUGAUUUAGUGGGGUGUGAUGUUGUUGAAGGGCGUUGGUCAUCAAGUAAUCUAAAUGCACUUGUUCAUCACAUUCCUCUUGGUUCUAAUACCAUAAGAGUUUUGCAUGGAUCUAGUAAUGCAAUCUCUAAAGCUUUAUGUAAAGUAAUGCCUCAUAUGUCAACAAUUGAAAAAUUUGUUGGGAGUACAAUUGCAUGGCCUCCUAAUGAGUUGUCUUGUUUCUUUCCAACUAGCUUUUCCAGUUCAUCUAUUUGGGUAAUUUUUUUCACUUCCUUUUCUUUUUUACGGUGACUUUAUAUAUUUUAAUAUUGAUAGCGAAUUUGAUCUAGUUUGCAGCUAUAAGAAAGUAACUUUGCAUUUUGCUACUUUGAGAAGGUCCUUAUUAACAUUAUUAUUAUUUUUUAGUUAAGUGAAGCUCGGCUUUUUAGAUUUUUUUUUCGUUCAUUUACUUUGAGCAAUUAUUUGGACAAAUAAUUGUUUUAUUCACUUUCACUAGGAGCCAUAUGCCAAGGCUUCACCAUGGCCAUUUGUUUUUGAAAUGUUGAUCUUGGCGGGUUGUGAUUUAGCUUUUCUUGUAUUCUUCUUAUUACUUUGAUUCUUAUUGCUUAUCGUUACAUUAUAGCUUAAUCUCCUAAUAUAUGAAAAUAGAUCUUUUCCUCCUUUAAUGCAAAGAUAAAUGUUCGUUGCUUUAGAUUUUCAAUAUUGUUAUUUUUAUUUGUACUUACUAACAGAACAUUAUUUUCCUUCUCAUUUUUUAAAGCUUUAUUAUUUAUUUUUUUAUGUCAAAAUGUAACUAUGUUUUUGUGUUCAAUUCAUGAUGUAGGUUGCAAAGAUCAAGUACAUUUUGUAAAGAGUAGAAGGCAAGUUGUGGAUGUAAUAACAACUUUAUUUGGUUUAAUUCAUGGGGAGAAAAAGUGCAAGUAUGACAUGAACAUAAUUUUUUUGUUUAAAUCUUUUUGUGUUCUUGGAGGUAUAUGAUCAUGUGAUUUUGGAUGCUUAUAUAUAGUUAUUGUGAUUAAAUAUGUAGUGACUGUUUUUUUCCCUUAACGAAUGAUAGAUUACAUGUCAAAUUGUUUAGCAUUUGAUAUUUAAAGUUAUAUUUGGUGAAUAAACAUUUCAAUGUGAAUUUAUCAAUUUAAACAAAUAACAUUAAACAACCAAAAAAAAAAUAUCUGCUAAUAUUCAUAGCUUUUUACAAAUACUACAAUAGAAAAUUUUAAAGUUAUUCAUAACAUUUACAAAUAGCUACAUUACACAUAUUUUAUUUAAUUUUUUUUACUAAUCAUAAAAUUAUUAAAACGUUAUAAUUAUUAUUAAAAAUGCAUUAUCAGAGUGCUAUGAAAGGCAGGUGGUAGCAUUAUAAAAUGGCUCUUGUAGCAUUUUUUGAAUGUUAUAUAUAAAAUUUAGUAGCAUUUCGUAAAUGCUACAAAUUGUACAAUGAUAGCAUCUGCAUGAAGCUACAAAAUAAUAUUUAGUAGCCAUUUUUAAAUGUUAUGUAUUCAAAUUGUUAGCAUCCAAUAGAUGCUACUAAAUGGUAAGACUUUUAGUUAUAUGGGCAAACUUGGCAUUAUUUAAAAUGCUACCAUAUAUCGUUUUUGUUGUAGUGAUUGGGCGUGAAUCAAGACAACUUUAUUGUGUACUGCGACAGUUAGAGUUCCAUUCACUUGGCAAAGAAUUCAACAUACCAUUUGAAAUGCAAACAUAUUGAUGUGAGGUAUCAUUACAUACGAGACGUGCUUGAAAAGAAACAAUUGCAGCUUCAGAACAUACACACAACGGAGAAUAGGUCAGAUAUAAUGAUAAAGAUGUUGCCCAAGGAGAAGCUGAAAAGCUGUAAGCAAAGAGCAGGCUUAGUGGUGCCCUCCACAUGAUCUUGAGCGGGAGAUUUAUUGAGUCCAUCUCAUUUUGGUGGACCAAGCCCAAAUUGCAUUAGUUUGGGCAGCAAGUAAUUAAAGAAAAACAACAUGGGGUUAAAUGAAAUUUGCCUUUGAAAUAGGUUUUGUGAUUCAUAUGGCUAUACAAAAGAAAAGAAAAGCAAACAGUAGCUGCAGACUAAAAAGAAGAAAAGACAAGAGAGAGAAAGAGAGAGCAGUGGCGUUUUCUCUAGAAUUGGGAGUAAGGUUUUCAAUGUUUGAUUGGACAAUCAAAAGCUGAUUUUGACUUCGUUUUCUCCCAAAUUUUGAGAGUAAGUUUCUGGUAUCGCCUUCUACAAUCAUACUGGUCUUGAUUUUUUUUUAUCCUCUUGUUGUCUAUUAUUUGAGAUACCCACUUGUUAGAGAGACCGACAUUAGUCUGUUAUUGUAACCACGAAUAUCGAGAUUCUUGAUAUUGUUAGCCUCUAAUAUUAUUUAGAGAGGAAUUUGUAUUGUAAUCUCAUUAAUAUAGUGGAAGAUUAUAUCGGACUACGGUCCCGUGAUUUUUUCUAUUUUGGGUUUUCAUGUAAAAUCUGUCUCUUAUGGUUGAUUUAUUACUUCAGAUUUUGUUGGUUUAUUUUUCUGCCUAUUUAUUUAUAGUACACAUCUUAUUUUAAUCACACAAAAAGAGAAAGAUGUUUGUUUCUGCUUCAUUUACAAUUGCUUGUGUAGGUUCUUUUCUCAACAAGCUGUGAUUUAAAAAACAAUUACAAAAUUAUUUGGAGUGUAAAAUAAACUAAAAAAGUUUUAAAAUUUUAAACAGAGCUUAUUACAUGUAUCUAGUAUUCCCAAUUUUAAUUUCAUAAUUUUUUUAUUAAUAUAUAAUUUUAUAAAAAUCCUAGAAUACAUAAUGUUUUAGUUAAAGCACUGUAAAAUAGUUUUGAAUUUGUCAUAAAACAAAUAGUUUUGAAAUUGUUUUUGGUAUCAGUUCAUCAUGACGAUUUUAUGGGGGAUACUUAUGGUUGUCCACCAUAGUUCGUCAUUCCAAUUAUUAUUUUAAGAGUAAAAGUUCAAAGAAUCAGACCUGUAGGAUAUGGGUUAGAGAAUCAAGAUGUUGGAAUUAGUUGUUAGUCGCUACAUUUUGAAUGGUUUAAGGUGUUUGAGGCUGAUUGGAGGCUUAGAAGUGUGUUUAAAUAAUUUCUUCUAUCUAGGUGAGUAACUCCACUCCUAAAGCACUAGAUUUGUGUGACUCUAUUGAUAUCUUAAUAUUAUUGUAAGUAACAUCUUUUUUAGUGUACUGGAUAUCUAGAGUACUGGAUAUGUAAGAUAGUUUUGAUAUUUUAACAUUAUUACAAGUACAUGUGCUUUUUUUAGUUCUUCAAAACAAAAUUAUUUAUGUAAGUGUUUUAAUAUAAUUUUGAUAGAGUGCUAGAUUUGUGUGAUUAUAUUGAUAUCUUAAUAUUAUUGUAAGUAACAUCAUUCUUAGUGUACUGGAUAUUUAAGAUAAUUUUGAUAUUUUCAUAUCUUUACAUGUGUUUUUUUUUAAUUCUUCAUAACAAAAUUAAUUUAUGUAAAUGUUUUCAAAUAUGAAAAUUAUGUUAUUUUUAUGGAUCCAAUAGAAUAUUAUUAAUGCCUUUAAAUAUGUAAUUUAUUUUAUUACAUGACUAUCUUCUAUGAAUUUUUCUAUGAAAUAUUAAAAUGGAAUUUAUUUUGCAAUCCUAAAUCAUUGUUGAUCUUUUAUGAAUUCGAUAUAAAUAUUUUAUUCACAUAUACGAUUGAGAUUAUUUAUGAUUGUUUGGGGGCCAGAGUGCCCCGAAGUGCUACAUAGUACCACGUGCAAGUCGUGACAUAUGGAAAAUGAUUUUAAAUAUUUUGGCUCAUUGUCUAUAGUUAUUUUGAUUUUGAUUUUGAUUCUGAUCGUAUUAUAUGAUAUAUAUGUUCGGGACCAGUACUGAGUUUCUAUUUUGAGGGUGCACACGAUAUUCUGAUUCUGAUUCUAUUCUGGCUAGUCACUGGGAGUAUAAGUGAUAUUUUGUGACAUGAGCUAAUCUUUUGUUUCCUAUAUUUAUAUCUUAUACGAUUUGUUUUUGUGAUUAAUUAUGACUUUGAUAUCUGUAGAGGGCAUUUGAGUGACUUGUUGAGAGGUGUGUUUAUCUUUGGAGGUAGAGAUUUAUUUACUUGCUAGUUGAAUAAAAGAAUGAUGAAUUUCUAUUUCCUUUAAGCUUGUUAGUGUUCUAAACUUAUAAUUGGGGAGUUUUGAGACUUUUGUUACAUUUAUGAUUUGCAAGAAUAUGUCAAGUAUUCAACUUGUGGAUUUGUUGAUUUGUUUAAUAAAGUUUGAGGUAUUUCAAUUUGAGAUUUUGUGUGAGGAUUUCAAUUUGUAUGUAACCUCCUAUUACCAGGUGUUAAAUUUGGGCUGUUACAUAACCACAACUAUUGGACUCUUUUUCAUGUGUAAUGAAGUGAGGCAAACACUAUUGUAAUACUUCAACCUCUAUUAAGAAAAGAUACAAAAUAAUACAUAAUGAAGAAACAAAAAAAAAAGAAAAGAAAAAGAAAGAAAGAAGAAGAUGAUGAGAGAGAGUGAGAAAGAGAAUGAGAUUGGGGAUUAAGAAGAUGAAAAGUUAAAUUUUUAAUGAGUUUCUUUACAUGGAUUAAUGAACUUUUAUUUUUUACCAAGAAAUUGAAAUGAUUUUGAGUAAACCAUCAUAAAUUAUUUAAACUUUGACAAAUUCUAUAUCCUCGAAACAGAAAUAUGAAAAUUUAUUGUAUGCAUNN